RNAcentral lists this ribosomal RNA (253 nucleotides) under uncultured bacterium. RNAcentral describes it as "partial 16S ribosomal RNA". It matches the Rfam family "Bacterial small subunit ribosomal RNA", at positions 524 to 775 of the family's 1533-position model. The record is from RNAcentral.
UACGUAGGUGGCAAGCGUUGUCCGGAUUUACUGGGCGUAAAGGAUGCGUAGGCGGACAUUUAAGUCAGAUGUGAAAUACCCGAGCUUAACUUGGGUGCUGCAUUUGAAACUGGGUGUCUAGAGUGCAGGAGAGGUAAGUGGAAUUCCUAGUGUAGCGGUGAAAUGCGUAGAGAUUAGGAAGAACACCAGUGGCGGAAGGCGACUUACUGGACUGUAACUGACGCUGAGGCAUGAAAGCGUGGGGAGCAACAGG